This 465-nucleotide ribosomal RNA is filed under the name uncultured bacterium. RNAcentral describes it as "partial 16S ribosomal RNA". It matches the Rfam family "Bacterial small subunit ribosomal RNA", at positions 28 to 523 of the family's 1533-position model. The record is from RNAcentral.
GAUGAGCGCUGGCGGCGUGCCUAACACAUGCAAGUCGAGCGAACCCUUCGGGGUGAGCGGCGGACGGGUGAGUAACGCGUGGGUAACCUGCCCUGUACACACGGAUAACAUACCGAAAGGUAUGCUAAUACGAGAUAAUAUAUUUUAAUCGCAUGGUUAAGAUAUCAAAGCUCCGGCGGUACAGGAUGGACCCGCGUCUGAUUAGCUAGUUGGUGAGGUAAUGGCUCACCAAGGCGACGACCAGUAGCCGACCUGAGAGGGUGAUCGGCCACACUGGAACUGAGACACGGUCCAGACUCCUACGGGAGGCAGCAGUGGGAAUAUUGCACAAUGGGCGAAAGCCUUAUGCAGCAACGCCGCGUGAGCGAUGAAGGCCUUCGGGUCGUAAAGCUCUGUCCUCAAGGAAGAUAAUGACGGUACUUGAGGAGGAAGCCCCGGCUAACUACGUGCCAGCCGCCGCGGUAA